This 502-nucleotide ribosomal RNA is filed under the name uncultured bacterium. RNAcentral's name for it is "partial 16S ribosomal RNA". It matches the Rfam family "Bacterial small subunit ribosomal RNA", at positions 29 to 523 of the family's 1533-position model. The record is from RNAcentral.
AUUGAACGCUGGCGGCAUGCUUCACACAUGCAAGUCGAACGGCAGCACGGGUGCUUGCACCUGGUGGCGAGUGGCGAACGGGUGAGUAAUGUAUCGGAACGUACCCGGCAAUGGGGGAUAACGUAGCGAAAGUUACGCUAAUACCGCAUAUGCCCUGAGGGGGAAAGUGGGGGAUCGCAAGACCUCACGUUGUCGGAGCGGCCGAUAUCAGAUUAGCUAGUUGGUGGGGUAAAGGCCUACCAAGGCGACGAUCUGUAGCUGGUCUGAGAGGACGACCAGCAACACUGGGACGGAGACACGGCCCAGACUCCUACGGGAGGCAGCAGUGGGGAAUUUUGGACAAGGGGGGCAACCCUGAUCCAGCCAUGCCGCGUGAGUGAAGAAGGCCUUCGGGUUGUAAAGCUCUUUCGGACAGAAAGAAAUCGCCACUUCUAAUAAAGGUGGUGGAUGACGGUACUGUAAGAAGAAGCACCGGCUAACUACGUGCCAGCCGCCGCCGUAA